Molecule: ribosomal RNA, 253 nt
Filed under: uncultured bacterium
Lineage: Bacteria
Description: partial 16S ribosomal RNA
Rfam family: Bacterial small subunit ribosomal RNA
Source: RNAcentral
UACAGAGGUCUCAAGCGUUGUUCGGAUUCAUUGGGCGUAAAGGGUGCGUAGGUGGCGCGCUAAGUCGGGUGUGAAAUCUCGGGGCUUAACUCCGAAACUGCAUUCGAUACUGCCGUGCUUGAGGACUGGAGAGGAGACUGGAAUUUACGGUGUAGCGGUGAAAUGCGUAGAUAUCGUAAGGAAGACCAGUGGCGAAGGCGGGUCUCUGGACAGUUCCUGACGCUGAGGCACGAAGGCCAGGGGAGCAAACGGG